This 384-nucleotide ribosomal RNA is filed under the name uncultured bacterium. RNAcentral describes it as "bacterial SSU rRNA". It matches the Rfam family "Bacterial small subunit ribosomal RNA", at positions 139 to 507 of the family's 1533-position model. The record is from RNAcentral.
GGGGAUAACAUUUGGAAACAAUGCUAAUACCGUAUAAUAAUUAAAACCGCAUCGGUUUAGUUUAAAGAUGGUCUUGCUAUCACUAAGAGAUGGGUCCCGCGGUGUAUUAGUUAGUUGGUGAGGUAAUGGCUCGACCAAGACAAUGAUACCAUAGCCGAGUUGAGAGACUGACCGGCCACAAUGGGACUGAGACACGGCCCCAUACUCCUACGGGAGGCAGCAGUAGGGGAUCUUCCACAAUGGACGAAAGUCUGAUGGAGCAACGCCGCGUGUGGUGAUGAAGGGUUUCGGCUCGUAAAACACUGUUGUAAGAGAAGAAUGACAUUGAGAGUAACUGUUCAAUGUGUGACGGUAUCUUACCAGAAAGGAACGGCUAAAUACGUG